This 782-nucleotide ribosomal RNA is filed under the name uncultured bacterium. Its description in RNAcentral is "bacterial SSU rRNA". It matches the Rfam family "Bacterial small subunit ribosomal RNA", at positions 8 to 796 of the family's 1533-position model. The record is from RNAcentral.
AGAGUUUGAUCAUGGCUCAGAACGAACGUUGGCGGCGUGGAUUAGGCAUGCAAGUCGAGCGAGGAUGGUUCCUGUAGCAAUACAGGGGCCAAGCCGAGCGGCGAAAGGGGCAGUUAUGUGUGGGUAACGUACCUCCCGGUUCGAGAUAGCUACGGGAAACUGUAGGUAAUAUCGAGCGACGUAGUUGGAUCUCCUGGUCCGACUACCAAAGGUCCGCCGCCGGGGGAGCGGCUCACAUGGUAUUAGCUAGUUGGUAGGGUAAUGGCCUACCAAGGCAAAGAUGCCUAGCAGGUGUGAGAGCACGACCUGCGCCACUGGCACUGAGACACUGGCCAGACACCUACGGGUGGCUGCAGUCGAGGAUCUUUGGCAAUGGGCGCAAGCCUGACCAAGCGACGCCGCGUGUGCGAUGAAGGCCUUCGGGUUGUAAAGCACUUUCGGGGGGGAACAACUCAAUGAGUGAUCCCCAAAAGAAGCACGGGCUAAGUUCGUGCCAGCAGCCGCGGUAAGACGAACCGUGCGAACGUUGUUCGGAAUCACUGGGCUUAAAGGGCGCGUAGGUGGUUUGCCAAGUCGGGGUUGAAAUCUUUCGGCUCAACCGGAAAAGUGGCUUCGAUACUGGCAAGCUGGAGGGAGGUAGGGGCGGAUGGAACUUCCGGUGGAGCGGUGAAAUGUGUUGAUAUCGGAAGGAACGCCGGUGGCGAAAGCGAUCCGCUGGACCUCUUCUGACACUGAGGCGCGAAAGCCAGGGGAGCAAACGGGAUUAGAUACCCUAGUAGUCC